GGACUAACAGGUUGGUCGCGCCUUUGGUGUGCACUGGCCUAGUUGGUUUCUCCCUUCUGACGAACCACGAUGUCAUUAAUUUGGUGUCGUGGGAAAUCAGGACUGUUACUUUGAAAAAAUUAGAGUGUUUAAAGCAAGCGCUAGCUUGAAUACAUUAGCAUGGAAUAAUGAAAUAGGACGUUUGACCCUAUUUGUUUGGUUUCUAGGAUCGACGUAAUGAUUAAUAGGGAUAGUUGGGCU
Molecule: ribosomal RNA, 240 nt
Filed under: uncultured Glomeromycotina
Lineage: Eukaryota; Fungi; Glomeromycota
Description: partial 18S ribosomal RNA
Rfam family: Eukaryotic small subunit ribosomal RNA (bases 47-240)
Source: RNAcentral